UACGGAGGGUGCAAGCGUUAUCCGGAUUUACUGGGUUUAAAGGGUGCGUAGGUGGGUAGGUAAGUCAGUGGUGAAAUCUUCGAGCUUAACUCGGAAACUGCCAUUGAUACUAUUUAUCUUGAAUACUCUGGAGGUAAGCGGAAUAUGCCAUGUAGCGGUGAAAUGCUUAGAUAUGACAUAGAACACCAAUUGCGAAGGCAGCUUACUACAUAGUUAUUGACACUGAGGCACGAAAGCGUGGGGAUCAAACAGG
This 253-nucleotide ribosomal RNA is filed under the name uncultured bacterium. RNAcentral describes it as "partial 16S ribosomal RNA". It matches the Rfam family "Bacterial small subunit ribosomal RNA", at positions 524 to 776 of the family's 1533-position model. The record is from RNAcentral.